AGGGUUCGAUUCUGGCUCAGAACGAACGCUGGCGGCGCGUCUUAAGCAUGCAAGUCGAACGGCAAGAGGUAGCAAUACCUCCUAGAGUGGCGGACUGGUGAGUAACACGUGGGUGACAUACCCUUCAGAUGGGGAUAGCUAUUAGAAAUAGUAGAUAAUACCGAAUACGAGCACAGGGGUUAGAGAUCUGUGAGGAAAGGAGCUAAGGCUCCGCUGAAGGAAUGGCCUGCGGCCCAUUAGCUAGUUGGUGAGGUAAGAGCCCACCAAGGCGAUGAUGGGUAUCCGGCCUUAGAGGGUGAACGGACACAUUGGGACUGAGAUACGGCCCAGACUCCUACGGGAGGCAGCAGCUAAGAAUAUUCCGCAAUGGACGAAAGUCUGACGGAGCGACGCCGCGUGGAUGAAGAAGGCCGGAAGGUUGUAAAAUCCUUUUGAAACUGAAGAAUAAGCGUUGUAGGGAAUGACAGCGUGGUGACAGUAGGUUUUGAAUAAGCAACGGCUAAUUACGUGCCAGCCGCUGC
RNAcentral lists this ribosomal RNA (521 nucleotides) under uncultured bacterium. RNAcentral's name for it is "bacterial SSU rRNA". It matches the Rfam family "Bacterial small subunit ribosomal RNA", at positions 8 to 518 of the family's 1533-position model. The record is from RNAcentral.